CAAUAGCGUAUAUUAAAGUUGUUGCGGUUAAAAAGCUCGUAGUUGGAUUUCUGUCGAGGACGACCGGUCCGCCCUGUGGGCGUGCAUCUGGUUCGGCCUGGGCAUCUUCUUGGAGAACGUUGCUGCACUUGACUGUGUGGAGCGGUAUCCAGGACUUUUACUUUGAGGAAAUUAGAGUGUUUCAAGCAGGCAUACGCCUUGAAUACAUUAGCAUGGAAUAAUAAGAUAGGACCUCGGUUCUAUUUUGUUGGUUUCUAGAGCUGAGGUAAUGAUUAAUAGGGACAAUUGGGGGCGAUUCGUAUUGACGAGUCAGAGGUGAAAUUACUUGGAUUUCGUCACGACGAACUACUGCGAAAGCAUUUGCCAAGGAUGUUUUCUAUUGAUCAAGAACGAAAGUAAGGGGAGUCGAAGACGAUCAGAUACCAU
This 426-nucleotide ribosomal RNA is filed under the name uncultured eukaryote. RNAcentral's name for it is "SSU rRNA". It matches the Rfam family "Eukaryotic small subunit ribosomal RNA", at positions 592 to 1018 of the family's 1831-position model. The record is from RNAcentral.